This 312-nucleotide long non-coding RNA is filed under the name Oryza brachyantha (malo sina). RNAcentral describes it as "long non-coding RNA (OBRA_LNC002291)". Lineage: Eukaryota; Viridiplantae; Streptophyta; Magnoliopsida; Poales; Poaceae. The record is from RNAcentral.
GAAACCAUACUGAAAAAAAUAACUUUAUUUCAUACCGCUUCCGUUUCAUAUUAUAAGACUUUCUAGCCUUGCCCAAAUUCAUCAACUGAUGAAUAUAUAUAAUUUAUAUAUAUGUCUAUAUGAAUCUAGACAAGGCUAGAAAGUUUUGCACUGUGGAACGGAAAGAGUAAGCAAUAAUAUACCUUACAUUCAAAUAUAAAUGAAAAGACGGACAAAGAUUACGGAAGCAGCCAUUUGAACAGAGAAUUUUACCUCUCAUUGUGGACAAAGCUAGAAAGUCUAGGAGUUACAUGGCUCGGCAUGUCCAUAACU